Molecule: long non-coding RNA, 3578 nt
Filed under: Homo sapiens (human)
Lineage: Eukaryota; Metazoa; Chordata; Mammalia; Primates; Hominidae
Description: HSALNT0193686
Source: RNAcentral
AAGGAAAGGCUUGUUAGGGAAGUCACAUCUCAGCUGAGAUUUGAAAGGUAAGUUGGAGGAAGCCUAGUGAAGAAAGCUGAAGGAGGAAUGUAGAGCGUUCAGGAUAAAGCAGCAGCCCGUGGUAAGCUUAGAAUCAUCAUCCACCACGACAAGAUGCAAGAUAGGUAAUCAAUUCAGUACAUCAGAAUCACUGGCUAUGAAGAGAAGAUUCAAGCAGAGACCUGCAGGAUCAAACACUAGCUGAAUUGCUGGGGUUGCAAAGAGGAAUAAAACCGUCACCUGCUUGGAGGACGUCAAAAUCUACAAAGAAGAGGAGGUACCAGGACCUCUGCCAAGAGACAGCGACACAAUGGUGAACCAGGAAAUGGCAUAUCCCCUGUCCUCAGGGAACCAGAUGAGUAGAGAAGACAAAAUUUACUAAAAUAAUCAAUCAUUUGAGUAAAUGUAGAAUUUCAAGGGUAGUUAGAGUUACAAAGGAGAGGUACACGCUACCAUGAGAACACAAAAGGGGCAUUUGUGUCCAUCAGAGAAGCUAAGAAACAUGUCCCAGAGCCAAUAUUAAAACCACAGUGGUAACAUAUACACCACUGUGAGAGUGUAGGGAAAUACUUGAGCUCUUCACCAAAUAUAACGGCAGCAUUUGAGAUUUCUUAGCUUCAUUUUGUUUGUUGCAGUUAGCCCAGAUUGACUGUUGUGCAAACAACUUCCAUUUGGUUUAGUUUUUGAUAACUCGUUUUAUGAUAGGCAGCUGCUUCUUAUUUGAAGUGAGAGAUGAGGUAAGAAAGAAUUCAAAAGAUUUGAAGGCUACCUGACAGGGUUGCUUCAUGAUAACAAACAGCCAUUCUCAAUGUUUGAAGUGGAAGGCAUUACUUCCUCAGGGUCUUUCGGGUUUUCUCUGUUUUUUGUUUUUUUCAACUGUGUGCUGCGCCCCCCACCACAAUUCCAAUGAUUUCCCCCAUAGAUAAGAAAUAAUUGCUUGUUUCUUGAAGAAUUUUUUAAAAAGGGCUAUCCUAAGGCUGCGUUUCUCAUAUUUGGUAUGAAUAUGACUAAUGUCUAUUCUAAUCCUUGAGGCAUUCUUAAGAAGAGGCAGCAUACGAAUUUUAAAAAGGCUUUAACCUUUUUCCUUUGCUCAUUAUGUAAAUUCUAUUUUUCAGCUUCCCUUUUCCCCCUACCAUCAACCCUCCACGCUUACUCCUCUCCCCUUUAUUUUUCUGAAUGAGCUUUCUUCUCUUUUGUCUUUUUUUCAGGAUAGAUGUUAUUCUUCACAUUCUUUCUGGGUGGAGGGGGAUAUACUAAGCCUAUUAAUAUGUUUACCUUUUUACCUAUUUAGAAUAUGGUGAAGGACAAGGAAAAUAAAAUGAGUAAGCGGUGCCUUCUGAAUAAUGCCAUGGAGCUUAUGCUGCUACUGUUGUCUUUUUAGCUAUAGCUGCUACUACCUCAUCCACCAGCAUUACCAGCUCUCUUGGCAAGUAUUGGACUACAGCAAGGCCUCCAUUACUCCUGCUGCUGUGGAGUUAAGACACAGUUCACUGGUGUGUCAGCAAGACAUAUUGGUGCUUGCUAGAAAUAGAUUGCUACUGCAUGGCAGCCACCGCUUGGGUGAGCCUGAAGCCCUCCCAAUGGGCAAAGAUACAGGUAGUAUACAACAAUUGGCCACAGACUUUAUAUGGAGAAGUACCUGUGAUAUGGAUAUGCAUUGACUUCUCUGCAGCACAAAUGGGCUACCUAGUUGGCUAAUUAACUAGAAUAGACGAAACGAAGGGAUCAAUGACUAGAGUGUCUAAGAUGGAGCUAGGUAAAGGGAUCUGUGGAAAUCAGUAAAAACAGGCCAGCUUUGAUAGCUUUAGAGAUCAAAGAAGAAUAUCUCUAAAAAGAUCACAUUUGAGGGAAAUGCAGUAAGACUUUCCUUGAUAUUCAGUGCUCUCCAGUUGCUCACGACUGUAGCUUUUACCAUAGAACCCUAUUUCUUCUGAUCUCAAUAUGGAACUAAUCUAUAUUUAUAUGAAAAGCAUCACCCUGCCAAAAUUACAUGUCUAUUGUAAGCCGUUCAAAAGUGUAAUGUAAAUGAAUGAAUAGGUGUUGGGGGCAGAUAUACACUACAGCAGCAAAAUGGUAGAGGAACUAGCUCUGAGCAAGAGAGCCCUUUGGUGCUUCCUGGGUCAGAGUCAUCAGCUCUGCCUGAGGAGUCUAAUUCUUCAGUAGUAUCGGCAUCUCUCAUGAAUGUGCCCAUUCUGCCCAGCAUACAGGCUUCUAAAAGCUUAGGGACACACUGGGAACUCUUGAGACAGCACGGGCCUAUGUAAGGGUAUAGCAAGACUGAAAUGUUUGAUGGGAGAAAGAAGGGCAAGGAUAGUAACAUUUGUGCUACCAGCAGUGUUUCCUGAAGCAUUAUUCCUUACAGUUGUUUUUCUAGGAAGUAGGGGGUCCCUGAAAAUAUGAUAGUAAUGCUGAAGAUAAAGUAGUGAAGUCCCCUUGGAUGACAUGGACUUGAAUCCUGGCUGUGCAACUUACUCAGUAGAUAACUCUGGGGAAAUAAUUUAACCUGUCUCAGUUCUCUCACCUGCAAAUUGGGUGUAACAGACAAUAUCCACUCUGCACAUAAAGUUAUUACAAGUUUUAAUAAGACCAUGGUUCUUUCAUUAUUUGUAUAAUCUUGGGCAAGUCAAUUAAAUUUUCUGAGUCCCCUUUUCUUCAUGUCAUCUCUAUAUUAGAGGCUUAGUUCCAAUAAUCACCAUGAUCCUUCCAGCUCUGAUGUUUGAGAUCUAUGCAAAUGGAAGUGUUCACUGGGAAAUGUCAGAGAAAUGUAAAUCUGAUUAUCCUUAUAAUUUAUAAUAUUUGUAUUAGUAUUACUAUUUUGAAUGCAGCAGUCCUUAGGAACCAGCUUCCUCUAAGAAAAGAAAGAGUAUGAUCUUUGAUAUUCUCCACCUGGGACUGUUGUCCAUGGCAGGGAUGUGUCUCUGUAAAGGCCAUUGCUAAGAAGCAUGGAGCCCCUUUGCUCCUCCUGCUUGAAAUUGAUGCCCUUUCCUGCUCUAACCACCAGAGGGGAGACAUCAUCUGUUUCAUGUUCUGAUUUACACACAGGCGCUACCAAAGGCAGGAAGAGCAAUGAAGACUCUGCCCUCUCACCUUCUCUCCUCUGCUCCCUUUGGAGGAUGAAUGGGGUACCGCAAAGGAAACCUGGUUUCCAAAGGGUCAUAAAAGUGCUCCUGGAAGUCACCAUGUUUUCAUUCCUUUAAAAUGAUGAUAAACUACUUAUUAAGCCUUGGGCUAUGGACUUGGCACUGAACUGUGUUCUUUGCUAGUAUUUUCUUGUUUAAUUCUCACAACAACUCCAUGAGGUAAAUAUUAAUCUUAUGCCCAGGACAUGAGGGCAUAUAAAAGGUAAAUAACUGAUAAAUCAGUAAAAUGGGGAUUUCAAUCUAUAUUUGACCCCAAAGUCUGAAUUCUAAGCCAGCAGGUCUCAACUUUUUUGGUUGCAGGACUGCUUUACCUUAUUAAAAAUGACUAAGCGUCCCCAAAAGCUUUUGUUUGUGUGUGUUACGUCUGUGAAUAUUUAUUGUAUUAGAAAUUCAAGCUGU